AGUGAACGCUGGCGGUAGGCCUAACACAUGCAAGUCGAACGACAGCACAGUAAGCGCUUGCUCUUACGGGUGGCGAGUGGCGGACGGGUGAGGAAUACAUCGGCAUCUUCUUUUUCGUGGGGGAUAACGUAGGGAAACUUACGCUAAUACCGCAUACGACCUACGGGUGAAAGCAGGGGAUCUUCGGACCUUGCGCGUUUGAAUGAGCCGAUGUCGGAUUAGCUAGUUGGCGGGGUAAAGGCCCACCAAGGCGACGAUCCGUAGCUGAUCUGAGAGGAUGAUCGGCCACACUGGAACUGAGACACGGUCCAGACUCCUACGGGAGGCAGCAGUGGGGAAUAUUGGACAAUGGGCGCAAGCCUGAUGCAGCCAUACCGCGUGGGUGAAGAAGGCCUUCGGGUUGUAAAGCCCUGUUGUUGGGGAAGAAAAGCAGCAGGUGAAUACCCCGCUGUUCUGACGGUACCCAAAGAAUAAGCACCGGCUAACUUCGUG
Molecule: ribosomal RNA, 492 nt
Filed under: uncultured bacterium
Lineage: Bacteria
Description: partial 16S ribosomal RNA
Rfam family: Bacterial small subunit ribosomal RNA
Source: RNAcentral